AACGAACGCUGGCGGCAUGCCUAACACAUGCAAGUCGAACGAAGUCUUCGGACUUAGUGGCGCACGGGUGCGUAACGCGUGGGAAUCUGCCCUUGGGUUCGGAAUAACAGUUAGAAAUGACUGCUAAUACCGAAUGAUGUCUUCGGACCAAAGAUUUAUCGCCCAAGGAUGAGCCCGCGUCGGAUUAGCUAGUUGGUGAGGUAAAGGCUCACCAAGGCGACGAUCCGUAGCUGGUCUGAGAGGAUGAUCAGCCACACUGGAACUGAGACACGGUCCAGACUCCUACGGGAGGCAGCAGUAGGGAAUAUUGCGCAAUGGACGAAAGUCUGACGCAGCGACGCCGCGUAGGGUGAUGAAGGAUUUCGGUUCG
Molecule: ribosomal RNA, 370 nt
Filed under: uncultured bacterium
Lineage: Bacteria
Description: bacterial SSU rRNA
Rfam family: Bacterial small subunit ribosomal RNA
Source: RNAcentral